Molecule: non-coding RNA, 21472 nt
Organism: Pelobates cultripes (western spadefoot toad)
Lineage: Eukaryota; Metazoa; Chordata; Amphibia; Anura; Pelobatidae
Source: the annotation of a GenBank genome assembly
GUUGCAUGGGAAGUUAUUGUAAGCUGGUCACAUGAUACAUCUCUUGUAUUUUAUUUCUCAAUCUCAUAUCUCGGCAUUCAGUCACACAGCUUUUUCACUCUCAUAUGUUACUGAGCAGAACGUGGAAAAGAAAAUCAAUGAAGAUCAUCUCCACACUGUGCCGGGCAAGUCUAAUCCAUUCUAAACAAUGGACUCACUCAUCUGCCUAGCAACUGAAAGCAGAAGUAAGGUUACAAGACAAAUAUCUACAGUAGUUACAGUCAAUGUCUGAAUAUUGAGAAGUGGCUUUUUAUAUGACUUUACUUAAUAACCAAUUAUUUUUACAUAACAACAGGGCAAGAUUUUUAUAUUAUUAUAUAAUAAUCUCCUGGACAUUUAUUAAAAAAAAAAACAGUUCCCCUUUUUUAAGAAACAAUAUUCUGUGUUCUAAUCAAAAUCUAUUUAGGCUUUAUAGAAAAAAAAAAUCAUUGUUCUACACUAAGUCGGAAUCAGUAAGUAUGUCAGCUGUGUUUUGACUCCCUCCCUAAAAUAUUAUGCAAAUAGGGGUGCCUAGUGAAACAUAAAUUAUAGUUUACAGUGCCUCAGCAAUAACACAGUCAUUGGCAAAAAUUGUCUGCUUGAUUUCUUGCCAUUACAGUUCUGAGGGGAACCACUGCAAAGUCCCUAUUGUUCUUCUUGUCAACUGGACAAUUACCCGAUGGUCCUUCCCACUCCCAUUGAUUGAGAACUCAUAAAAGUAUAGCGAUAUGACAAGUAAAAAUAAUAUAUUUUUAAAAUCUUCAAAUUAGGAAAUACAAUUACGAAGCUACAGAUUAACAGUGUAACUGUAUGUCUUUCAUUGCAAGUCAUGUUAUUUGCAAGCUCUGCCAAGCCACUUUAAAAAAAACUCAGAUUUUGUUUUUAAUUUUAAAUAUGCAACUGAUAACAGUUAUUUAGUUAUUUCUAUCUGUUAGGAAUUACAAACGCUCAUAUCUUCCAAAAAGCAUUCUGAAAUAUGAAAAUAAUGAAUGAUAUAACAUUAUGAUAAGCUGAGUAUUCUGAACAAUCUCUGUGGAACUUAAAUAUUCAAGCACUGAUAAUUAAUUAUUACAUGGGAUAAAAAGUUACUGAACAAGUGAUUUUAUUGUUACGUAAUUAUUUUUUUUUUUCUUUUAUAAGGCCCAUAAUUUAAAUAAACUAUACUAAAAGUUAUUUGUAGGUAUAGGUGACAUAGUCUGUCACCUACAUUGGUUUUACCAUAUGACUGUAGACAGUAUUCAAACAAUGUAUUAUUCUUCAGCUGGUUAUGGUGCUGUAUAAAGUGAUGUUAUGACCUAAAUUUCUGUGUUUCAAGUGGAUGUGAGUUGGGAUAGGAUUUAGUGAUACUGGAUUAUCCAAAAUAUUAAAUUGGAGCAAAAUGCAUUUUGGCACUCCCAAACUAUAGAUUUUAUAGAUUGUAUUACCCCCUAAACCCUCUCUUUUUAGGAAAACUUCAAGCACAUACUCACAUGUAUAUACAUACACACUUUCAUAUACAUAGACAUUCAAAUUCACACAUACUUACAUUGCAUUCAUAUACACACACAGGCACAUCCACAGACACACACAUUGAUGUACAUACACAUAGACUGCCAAUUCACGCUGAAAACUCAUCCCAAGACCCUUAACCCCACUCCCAAUAAUGAACAUGACAACUUUAUGAGUGUGAUCCCCCUCUCCCAAUGCUCUAACCUCAAGCUACCAUGUCCUCCGGAGCUUGUCCUCCAAUAACUGAAAAACAGAGCAAACAAAACACCAGAAAGGACAAAAAGCAAGCACAAAAGAUAGAAAAUCCAGUACAAGACAGGGAAAAAAAGGGGGAACAUGCAAAGAAAGUACAAAAAAGGGAAAACACACAGAAGACAGGGCAGUUGGAUGGGAGAUAGCUCAUGUAGCCUGCUGUCCAGGAGCAAAAAGGGAAGUAAGGGUGACCACAAAUCCAACAUUUUUUACAUUAUUCCUCCAAUCCAUAACUGCCUUAAAUGUCUGACCACCACACAGGCAUGCAAGGUAGUCAUGAACUAAACGGUUGAAAUUAAGUAGUUGUAUUAGCAGAACAACAGCAUGUAGAAGUUAGAGCUCACAAAUGAAGAUCUCAAAGACAAAAUAACUGCACAGCAUGAGAUAGAGAGGAAGUUUGGCAAAACAAGAACACAACGUGAGAGUUACCAGCAACAGUUAGUUCUCCAACACACGCACGCCAGCUAUUAUUACUAACAUAAUUUACUUUGAAUUCUCGCUUUUGUGACUGAUUUUGACAGUGUUGAAGUAAAUUUAGUUAAUUACAUCAAGAUAUUUAAUGAUAUUGUAAUAAAUCAUUGAAAAGGAUUAUAUUGGUUGAUCCUUGGUUAGUUGUCUUGAUGUAAUAAAGUGUAUUUUGAUAUUUUCAGUAAAAAUAUAAAAUUAUUACAUAUUUACUUUAAAAUGUGUGGAGAGUAUGUGAAUGCACUGUUUUUUUAUGAUUAUGAUUUAACGAUUAUGAUUACAGCAGACUACACCCAACCCCUCUCUAAACUCUAACUAUAUUUUUUUUCACUAUAUUUUUCAAGAUGUAUUGUGUUUUGAAAAUCAGGAUGAAUGAUGAAAUAGUGCUCCGGUUGCAUUUCCCUUUACAUAUUUAUCAUUUCCUGCAUAGGAGGUGUCAAGGUGCAAACCACUACUCCUUUUACUAGGGGAAGUUGCACCAGUUGUGAGUAUUCAGAAUAAUUACUGACAUACUCUUGUGGUAAGCUCUAGAUGAGGCUCAGGAGUGCUAGACAGGUAAUCAUGGCUCUUUUCCAAUUUCAAAGAAACCAUCAUAAUACCCUCUUUGUAAUGAGCAGUAUGUGGUAAUAUUGAUACACUAAAAAAACACAUCAAAAGAAAGCACAUUUUCCUAACUAACAAGGUUGGAACUCUGUUGGCAGAUAUAAACAGGGAUAGAAGAACAUAUCACUUACCUUAAAGUGGUUGGACACCUCACCUCGUGACCUUUUAAAAACACCCCUAAUGAAGUAGCAAAGGUAGAAACAAGCCAGGGACACCAGAAGCUGGAACAAUUACAUAACAUGCAAGAGGUUAGUACAGGCAGCAGACAAAGAAUGACCGAAUAACAAGUUGGAUCAGGAAGACAGAAUACCUGGAGAAGACUAGGGAAAAGUUAUAUGUGUGUUUAGCUGUCUCACUAACAGGCACCGUGUGCUGCACAGGAUGACCAGGCCUUAUGUCUAUUAAAGAUACUGUUGCGGCUCCCGGUCUGCCGCAUGGCGCAGCCGUGCCUGACCGGCACCACCUCGCCGAUAUUGCGAGCUUACCUGCUCGCCAGCGAGCUGGGAACGGCUCCUUUCCUUUUUUAUAGUUUCUGCGUGUUGGACCACAGCAGCCGUGACAUUACGACAGGGCCAUGGAUCCUGCUGAACUAUGCAAACAUAUGAUUGCCUAUGAGAGUAGGGUGGAGGAUAUGGACCACAGGUUAGAUCAAUUCCAGACCUUGCUCCAGGGAACUGCCUAUCUGGAGGCACCUCCGGUACCACCUGUGGAUCCGCCACCUGUAAUAGCACCUGUGGCACACAAACCACCGUCCAUAACCCUUUCACCUCCCCCUCGUUUUGAAGGUGAUUCUAAGGAAUUUAGAGGUUUUCUAAACCAAAUUGAAUAUCACUUCGAAGCUUCCCCUGGUUCAUUCCCUACAGAUAGAUCGAAAAUUGGCUAUCAAAUGAACCAAUUAAUGGGUAAGGCUUUAACCUGGGCUAAUCCCUUAUAGGAGAGUGGAAAUCCAGUUGCCCAUGAUUACAAUGUAUUCGUAAGAGCUUUCAAAACUACUUUUGAGCCAAAAGGGAGAGAAAAGAACUCUGCCAGAGCCCUAAUGAGAAUAAAACAAGGCAACCGCUCUGCAGCUGAUUACGCCAUAGAGUUCAGGACAUUGGCGUCUGAGGUUAACUGGACCAAUAGCGGUUUGGUGGCUGCUUUUUGCGAAGGUUUAGCGGAAAAUAUACAAGUCGAGACCGCAGCCAGAGAUCUUCCAGUUAACCUUAAUGACUUUAUUGCAUACAUGAUAGACAUUGAUAACAGACUCAGAGGCAAAAGGGGACAUCAAAGGUUUUCAUGUCCGGUUCGGCCGGAAAACUCGCACACCUAAGGCACGUUCGGGGACCGACCUUAGGUGUGAUGUAUAUGUCACCUAAAUUGACUAAGAAUCGUUUCCUUAUAAAAAUUACUUUGUCUUGUAAGAAAACCACUGUACAGUGUGAGGCUAUGAUUGACUCUGGGGCAGCGGAGAAUUUUCUAGACAAGGAAUUCUCUGCCAAACAUCUCCUGCCCUUAAGGCAGAAAGAAAGACCCAUAGCAGUAGAGGCUAUUGAUGGGAGACCUCUUACCCAGCCUCUCAUCACGCAUGAAACCCUGCCAAUCACUGUCUCAGUGGGUAUCUUACAUUCUGAAGAAAUGGUGUUCCAAAUUAUAUCUUCACCUACAUGUCCGAUAAUACUGGGUUUCCCUUGGCUCCAGAAACACAAUCCACGUUUGGGUUGAAUGAGAAAUUGUGAGUUGGGGUGAGAGAUGCAGAGGUAUUUGUUUAAAACAGGUGCAACAACUAAUUGGUACCCUCAAUAUACUUAUAGCGCCUCCCUUGACCACAGAAAUCCCACCGCAGUAUUUGGACUUAAAGGAGGUAUUCAACAAGGUACAGUCUGAGGUUGUCACAUAUUCAUCCGCUUAUAGAAAUGUGGUUAAUGACAUUUACUGUCCAUACAGGAUAAGUUGUGCCGAGCAGCAACCUAAUCCACAGAAGGGUUAAUGCUGAGCAGUAAUUGUGCAAAUGAAACCUGGUGUCACGUAUUCAUCCGCUUAUAGAAAAGUGGUUAAUGACAUUUACUGUCCACACAGGAAAAGUUGUGCCGAGCAGCAACCUAAUCCACAAAAGGGUUAAUGCUGAGCAGCAAUUAUGCAAAUGAAACCUGGUAACUGACUUUGGGGUCAAAGGCCGGUUACAGCCUAUCAGAACUAAAGGAGGGGUAUUUAGGCCCAGUUCUCAGCCUGCUCAGUGCCCUGUCGUGGUUUCCCUUGUGGUUGUCCGAGAGCGCGUUCCUGUUUAUAGUUUUCUACCUGGUUUUUGACUUUGGCUUUGUUUAUUGACUUCUCUAUAUUCUGGUAUCCUGACUCCUGGCUUUCCUCAUCGCUGUGUCCCUUUCUGUGUUCCCUGACCUCGGGUAGUAUUUUUGACUAUUCUUUGUACGUUAAAUCCGGCCAUUCUAAGGACCGGUAAUACGUUACUUAUUUGUCAUCCGUGCUGUACAGUUCUGCGUGCUGGAUCAAACAGUAAUCCUGACAGAGGUAUUACCACCACAUAGACCCUACGACUGUGCCAUAAAUUUGUUACCAGGCACUAUGCCCCCUAAAGGAGGAGUAUAUGCACUAUCUCCCCAAGAAAAUCUUUGUUUAGAAGAGUACAUAAAGGAUGCUCUCAGAAAGGUUCACAUACGUAGAUCCUCUUCACCUGCUGGGGCUGGGUUCUCCUUCGUCUCUAAAAAAGAAGGAGACCUACGCCCUUGUAUAGACUAUGGGGGUAUGAAUAGAAUAACAAUAAAAAACACCUAUCCCAUUCCUCUUAUUUCUGAAUUAUUCGAUAGGUUGAAAGGGGCCCGAUUCUUCACUAAGCUCGACCUCAGAAGUGCUUACAACCUAGUCAGAAUUAAGGAAGGGCACGAGUGGAUGACCACAUUUAAUACGAGAAUUGGACAUUACGAAUACCUAGUUAUACCGUUUGGACUGUGCAACGCCCCAGCGGUGUUUCAGGAUUUCAUUAACAAUGUCCUUAGCGAAUAUCUCCACAUGUUCGUUUUAGUGUAUCUAGAUGACAUUCUCAUCUAUUCCCCAGAUUUAGAGACACAUCACGAACAUGUGAGAACAGUACUAAAAACCCUGUUAAAGAACGGCCUCUACUGUAAGCUGGAGAAAUGCCAAUUUGACCAGACUGAGAUACAAUUUCUUGGGUAUGUUAUAUCUCCGUCUGGUUUCAAAAUAGACCCAUGCAAAUUGGAAGCAGUCUUACAAUGGCCAUUACCCAAAGGCCUUAAAGCUACACAACGCUUUAUAGGUUUUGCUAAUUAUUACCGCAAGUUCAUUAAAGGCUUUUCCUCUGUAAUCUCUCCUAUUACCAACCUAACCAAAAAAGGAGCAAAUUGCAAUUCAUGGCCCGAGGAAGCAAAGGAGGCAUUUGAGCAAUUAAAAUCUUUAUUUGCCUCAGCACCUGUCCUGACACAUCCCGAUCCAACCAAACCAUUUAUUCUAGAAGUAGAUGCGUCAGAAACAGGAGUAGGAGCCAUCCUGAUACGCCUUUACAUCCCUGUGGGUUUUUCUCUCGAAAACUAACAUCUGCAGAGAAAAAUUAUGACAUUGGGAAUAGGGAGUUAUUGGCCAUUGUACUUGCCCUUAAAGUAUAGAAGCAUCUCUUAGAAGGUUCCAAAGAGCCACUUCUGAUUUUUACUGAUCAUAAUAAUUUGGCUUAUAUUGGGGAUGCUAAGAGAUUGUCCUCUCGUCAGGCUAGAUCCUCUCCCGAUUCAAUUUGGUAAUUACGUACAGGCCCGGGACCAAGAACACCAAGGCAGAUGCGCUGUCUAGGCAGUUUGAGACAGAUGAGGUUCCUGAACAAGAGAUGUUCCCUAUCAUACCUCCAGAAUGCCUUAUUGCCACUACAAUAUCCAAAGUGUCUUCUCCACUCUUCUGUGCCAUAAUAGCAGAUCAAACUCAGGCACCCGUGGAGAGACCUCCGGAUAAACUGUACGUUUCACCACCUUUAAGGAAAAAGGUACUUGGAUUAUUCCAUAAUAAUUUGACAGCAGGUCAUCCUGGAGUCCAUAAAACGCUCUCUGUUAUCUCCAGGAAGUUCUGGUGGCCUACACUUAGGAACGACAUCAAAGUGCAGUGUGUGUGUGUGAGGGGGACAGUGUGUGAGCAGUGUGUGUGUGUGAAGGUUGCAGUGUGUGAGUGAGGGCAGCAGUGUAUGUCAGGGGUGCAGUGUGUGUGUUAGGGGGCAGUGUAUGUGUGGGUCAGUAUGUGUGUGUGACAGUUGCAGUGUAUGUGUGUAUGGGGGGGCAGUGUAUGUGUAGGGCAAUGUGCGUAUGGUGGGCAGUGUAUGUGUAGGGCAAUGUGUGUAUGGGGGCAGUGUAUGUGUGUGUGGGGGCAGUGUGUGUGUGUGGGGCAGUGUGUGUGUGGGGACAGUGUAUGUGUGUAUGGGGGCAGUGUAUGUGUGUAUGGGGACAGUGUGUGUGGGGGCAGUGCAUGUGUUUGUGUAGGGAAGUGGUGUGUGGGCAGUAUGUGUGUGGGGGCAGUGUAUGUGUAUGUGGGCAGUGUAUGUGCGUGGGCAGUGUAUGUGGUAGCAGUAAAAGGUGUGUUUGGGGAAGUGUAUGUGUAUGUGGGGUAAAUGUGUGUGUAAGCAAUGUGUGGGGGCAAUGUGUGUAUGUGGGUGGUCAAUGUGUGUGUAUAGCAGUGUAUGUGUGUGUGUUGGUGUGUGUAUGUGUGUGGGGCUGUGUGUGUAUGUGUGUGGGGCAGUGUAUGUGUUUCUGGGGGCAGUGUAUGUGUGUAUGGGCAAUGUGUGUGUAGCAAUGUUAGUGUAAAGUAAUGUGUGUAUGUGUGGGGGCAGUGUAUGUGUAUGGGGUAGUAUGUGUGCCUAAGGCAGUGUGUGUAUAGGCAGUGUAUGUGUGUCUGGGCAGUGUGUGGUAUGGGGCAGUGUAUGUGGCAGUGUAUGUGUAUGUGGGCAAAUGUGUGUGGGGGACAGGUUUUGUGUAUGUGUGUGGGCAGUGUGUAUGUGGAGGCAAAUGUGUGUGUGUGGAGGGGCAAUGUGUGUGUGGAGGGCAGUAUGUGUGUCUGGGGCAGAGUGUGUGGGCAGUGUAUGUGUCUGGGCAGUGUGUGUGGGGGGGGCAGUGUAUGUGUGUGGGGAAUGUGUAUGUGUGUGUCUGGGGCAGUGUGUAAGUGGGGGGACAGUGUAAGGCGCACUGGGCAGUGUGUAUGUAGGGCAGUGUGUGUGGGGCAGUGUAUGUGUGGCAGUGUGGGGCAGUGUCUGGGGCAGUGUGUGUGUGGGGGUGUGUGUGUGUGUUGGGGGCAGUGUAUGUGUGUCUGGGGCAGUGUGUGUGUGUGUGAGGGGGGCAAUGUGUGUAUGGGGGCAGAGUGUGUAUGGGCGGGCAGUAUGUGUGUGAGGGGGAGGGGCAAUGUGUGCAUGUAGGGUAGAAGUGUGUGUGAUAAGGCUAGGGGGGGCUUUUUUAUAAUAUACUUUUUUAUAUUUAUUUAAUUAAAAUAAAUAUAUUUAUGUCCCCCCUCCCUUCUUACCUUUACAUUUCUUAGUCCCUGGUGGUCCGGUGGGGAUUCCCUGGUGGCCCAGUGGUUAGAGUGAACUCUAGCCCGCGCUCCUGGGCUAGAGUUCACUCUCGCGAGAUUUGGAGCGUUGCCGUGGUAACCGCAGUAACGCUCCAUGCUCGCGAGAGUAGGACUCAGAGGAGCUGCAGGCUGAGCUCCCGGGUCCUCUCCCUCCCCCCGCCGGCUGCCAGCACAGUGCCUGCAGACCAGGGAGAUCUCUGAUCUCCCUCUCCGGUCCAUGAAGGCACAUUGCAGGGCUAGCGCCUGCAUGUGCUGGCAGGGGACAGGGAGACCCUCGAUUUUCUCGGGGGGGGGGGGGAAUUGCCUGUUGCCCCCCCCCCCCGGAUCCGCCACUGUUCAGCAGUCACAUAAUUAGUGAAAUGAUGUCCACCUGUGUGCAAUCUAAGUGUCACAUGAUCUGUCAUUACAUAUAUACACCCUUUUUGAAAGGCCCCAGAGGCUGCAACACCUAAGCAAGAGGCACCACUAACCAAACACUGCCAUGAAGACCAAGGAACUCUCCAAACAAGUAAGAGACAAUGUUGUUGAGAAGUACAACAAAAAUAUCCAAAUCUUUGAUGAUCCCCAGGAGCAUCAGCAAAUCUAGCAUAACCAAAUGGAAAGAACAUGGCACAACAGCAAACCUGCCAAGAGACGGCUGCACACCAAAAUUCACGGACCGGGCAAGGAGGGCAUUAAUCAGAGAGGCAGCACAGAGACCUAAGGUAACCCUGGAGGAGCUGCAGAGUUCCACAGCAGAGACGAGUAUCUGUACAUAGGACGACAAUAAGCCGUACGCUCCAUAGAUUUGGGCUUUAUGGCAGAGUUGCUAGAAGAAAGCCAUUACUUUCAGCAAAAAACAAAAUGGCACGUUUUGAGUUUGUGAAAAGGCAUGUGGGAGACUCCCAAAAUGUAUGGAGGAAGAUGUUCUGGUCUGAUGAGACUAAAAUUGAACUUUUCGGCCAUCAAAGAAAACACUAUGACUGGCGCAAACCCAAUAUAUCACAUCACCCAAAGAACAACAAUCCCCACAGUGAAACCAGACCUCAAUCCAAUAGAAAAUCUGUGGUCAGACUUAAAGAUUGCUGUUCACAAGCGCAAACCAUCCAACUUGAAGGAGCUGGAACAGUUUUGCAAGGAGGAAUGGGCAAAAAUCCCAGUGGUAAGAUGUGGCAAGCUCAUAGAGACUUAUCCAAAGCGACUUGGAGCUGUGAUUGCCACAAAAGGUGACUCUACAAAGUAUUGACUUUAGGGGGGUGAAUAGUUAUGCACAUUGACUUUUUCUGUUAUUUUGUCCUAUUUGUUGUUUGCUUCACAAUAAAUAAAAAAAGAAAAACAUCUUCAAAAGUGUGGGCAUGUUCUGUAAAUUAAAUUAUGCAAAUCCUCAAACAAUCCAUGUUAAUUCCAGGUUGUGAGGCAACAAAACACGAAAAAUGCCAAGGGGGUGAAUACUUUUGCAAGGCACUGUAGGACAGCGUUUAAUUAAAUGUGUCACAUGACUGAGUUUUAUGACAGUCAUUACAAUUUGAUUUAACCCUGUAAUUAUAAACAUUGCAGUUUUUAAAAACAAAAGAAAGGACCAGUGAACACAGACCAUUUCCUUAAUAUGACAUUUUGGUGGCAUUAGUGGUCCUGUAAAGACAAGGAAUUGGUAAUCACAUAGUAGACAUUUAGAGCCUCAUAAAGACUUAGAGACAAUAUAUAUUGGCUUUAUAAUACUUUGUACUGUUAUAACCUAAAUCCUUUAGUCCUAUCCUAUAAAUCCUUUAAUCGGAAGUAAAUGUGUUACUUCAUUUGGAAUUUGGUCAGCUACUGACAAUUAAAAAAAUGCAUUAUCUAGAGUUUUUUCCUGCUUUUACAGUAUUAAAAGUUUCAUAGUAUCAAAAUGCCCAGUGUUAAAAGACAGCUCUUCUACUUCUUGUAAAAUAGGUCGAUUGUCUUGCUGGGUUCUGCAGGCUUUUAAAUAUUUAAUGGAAAUGUGUAAUGAACAACUUAAAUGCUCCAAUGCACUUGUAAGCAUCCACUGUGAGUAUGCGGCUCGCACAGGCCUUUUGCUUAUAUGUUUGGGCUCUCUUUUUGAAAAUGUUAUAUGCAUCAAAUAUAGCACUGUUUAACCCCUUCACCGUCAAGCAAUUUCUAAUUGAAAAAUAUUACCAUAACAUGUAUUUGAAGGUAGGGAUGCACAGCAAGCAUUUAAAUAUAUCAUAACACAGCUAUGUUGUGUAUAUGUUGCUCUGCAGACACAUGCAAAUAUAAAAAAAAACAAAGAAAAUGUGUAAAUUUACACAAUUUUUAUUUUUCACUUAUUCAUUCAGCCUUUAGAAAUAAUAUUUGGAAAAUGAAACAUUUUAGACAGUAUACAGUGUAUUUUAUCUUGCAAUAUUUCACACAGGGUCUGAAAUGUUAGAAAAACAAAAAGAAAACAUUUCUUACAUUCAGUAGACAUGAGAAACAAAAAGCUAAAUGAGAAUGUUCAAAUACCUUAUUUAUAGGUAUUUGUAAGGCUUUGUAAGUUUCAACAUGGAUGCUGUCCAGGAAGUAGGAUGGUCUGGGAGGGAGGGUCUGCUGGAGAUUGGCCGGGACGUGUCAGCUGACCGGAGUUCGCCACGAAAAGCUCGUGGCGAACCGUGGCGAACCGUUCGCGAGAAGUUCGCGGACGGUUCGCGACAUCUCUACUGCUCACAUCACAAUAAUAUUGCCUUUCCUACAUAAACUUAUUUUUUAAGAGUAUCUGAAUAUUUGAAAAUCACUUAAAUUUUUUAAGAUUUCACUUUGAACCCUCCUAAUUUUCAGUUGCGUUAAAAAGGCAUGUUUAACCCCUAUACACCAAACUGCAGUGAUUCACCAAUUAAAUUGCAAUGUUCAGGCUAAAACAAGAAAAAAAAAACCUGAAGAUAAUAUUUUCUUCAACACUAUGGAACCUUUGCAAAUUUAAAAAAGCCAUUAGGCACCAAAAUCACUGCACCCGAUUGAAAAAUGAGUCCUACUCCACCAAACAUUAGGUUGAACAUGUUAAUAUUUCAACCUAGAAGGGUCUUUCUCAAACCCUUUGUUGGAGGUUUAACUAUUACUAGAUCCACCCAACAUGUUUAUGGAAUGAAAAGCCUUCAUACAUAAGCCUGGAGUUGUUGUAGAUUUAUUGUGUUGUUGCCAUGAGCAGAGGGCAGAUACGAAAGGUACGAAAGUUGUGGAUGAUGGUUAAAGGAUCACUAUAGUGUCAGGAAAACAAACCUGUUUUCCUGACACUAUGUCAUCCUUGGGGGACCCUCAUCUUCAGGGUCCCCCUCCUGUGGCGCUUCAGCAGCGUACCUUAAUCCAGCGCCGUGCUCUCUCGGCGCUGGUGACCUCUCCGCUGUGCGCGCAUUCUAACAGUCCAUAGGAAAGCAUUUCUCAAUGCUUUCCUAUGGACGUUCUGCACGCUGGAUGCUGGACGCUGGAUGCGUCGCAGAAGCGCCUCUAGCCACUAGAGGUUGGAUUAACCCUGCUAUGUAAACAUAGCAGUUUCUCUGAAACUGCUAUUUUUACAUGUGAAAGGUUAAAACCUGAGAGACCUGGCCCCCAGACCACUUCAUUGAGCUGAAGUGGUCUGGGUGACUAUACUGUCCAUUUAAAUAAUCAGAGUCCACACUUGUUAAUAUUUUAUAUAAUUUAUCAUUUAUAAUUUAACAUUUUUAAUAUUAGUCCAGUGCCUUGUAAACUACUCUCUACAUUAAUAGGUUAAAUGACCCAUAUGUUGCCUUUUCAGCAUAAUUCUGCAUUUUAACUCCAAAUACAUACCCAGUAUGCCAGUUAAGUAAUCUGAGAAAUUUUAUUUCAUGUAAAAUUGGCUUCUUUUUGUCUUGUGGUGUGCAAAAUCUGAAGAUGGAAACUCUAGAAAAUACCAGAUAAAAAAGGGAAUGUGUUUAAAGGACAUUUGUACUACGACUAUAUGAGGGGUAUUUCCCUGGAUCAUUGCCAGGCAGUUAAUAACGCUUAUACACAAAGAUCUGGCUAACGGGUAAAUCAUUACAAUUUGCCUUUCUUCUACUGGCUUUCAAUUCUAAAGUAUUUUCCACUCUGUGUUAAUGUAAACAUGCUAUUUAUAAAAGCUGUUAGGAAGACAAUAUAAAGUCUGCUUCUAUAACUCAUUGUUUGUAGAGCUGACUCAAUAACCAGCAUUGGCUUUAAAUACAUUUUUAUUAUUCGGGGAAAAUAGCAUUUCUGUUGCUGGCAGCCAUUUCAUAUAGAACAAGUCAGAUAGUCAUAUUGUAUCUAUCUAUCUAUCUAUCUAUCUAUCCAUCUAUCUAGUUCAAUUUGUAAAUCUGUUGUUUUGGUUUGCAGUUGAUGUGGAAAAAUAAUCAGGAUAUACCAAAUGGCACAAAAUGGGCUUAUUUGUUUACUGCAAUGCAAAACUAGAUAAAAUAUUUCCUAGUCAUUAGGUCAAAGCAGGCCUUUUUGCAAUGCUAAUUGUAAGUUGUCAUAAUAAUGUUAUUAUAUCUGCAUUAAACAAAUAUUAAUUGAUGGUGUUUUUUUCUGUGUGCAAUCGUGUAAAUUAAAGGAGAGGUACUAGCGUAUUUCAGUUUGAAAAAAAUGGAUUGAAAAACAAAAUUGAAAGGAAAAAGUAAGUAGGCAACUUGCGAAGUGAAUAAAAAUUUCUCACACAUCAGUAGGUAGAGUGAGUGGCUGUCCUUUAGUGUGGAAUAAAAUAGUGCUCUAUCAGCCUAUACCAAGUGCAUCUGCCAAGCCAGGCAGUGAGAACCAACUACUAUUAAAAUUUGAAAACACCACCACAUGUUAGAAUACUUCUAGAAAUUUAGAAAAAAGACUUCACAGCAAUUUUCAUCCUCCUGAUCACAGAUGCUACAUCGGUCAGGAGUGUGCCACCAGGAAAAACUUCCCUUAUUUCCUUGAAGGCAUCCAUCUAGUUCAUGAGGUGGGCAAACAAGGGGAUGAACUGUUGCAAACAGCAUAUGUUUUCUGUGACAUCCAUAAAUAGUUUUAGGACUUCCCUAUUGUUGUGGAAAUGAGAUAUUGACAUAUUUUCUAGUUAGUAAAAUGCCUAUUUACUCAUUUAACCGAAAUCAGUGCAUAAGCUAUUAACACAUAUUUAGACAAAAUGGCCACUAGAAGCUUCUAACCCCUCCCUCCCUAUAACACCGACUAACUACCUCGUGUAACAAGAUGGCGCUGGAAUCUGGGGGAGACCCUCAUGGUCUCAGUGACAUCACCCUUAGUAGGCAGAGUAUUAGGGAAACCACUUAACACCUAACCAAUUAAUAAAGUAUUAUUUCAUGUUAUUUCUGACAAUGCUUAUGAUGUAAUUUUGCUUUAAAAGGGACCUGCCGUCCCCUCUGAAUAAACAUUCCUCAAGUUAUUCAUCAACCUGAAACCUGUGUCUGGUGUGAAUUACUUCAGGGAGUGUGCACGCAUUGUUUCUUAAUUUGGACAGGGGCAGAAACACAAAAAUAAUCAAUUGAUUGAAUUGAUUUCCACUUCAAUUGGCGCCCAACGUGGGGCACCAGAUUUGCCAGCUCGGAGGUCCGGAAACCAACGGACCGGAGCGGACCUCCGGAAAGUGGGACACCCGGAGCCUGAUCACCUCCAAUAUACAGCCGUUGUCUGUAUACUCCUGUUUUGUGUCGGUCUGCCUCCGCGUCCACUUCCUGCAUCCAGAAGGCUACUAGACAGGUAAUAUCUUAUCCGGUGCCUAUUUAAAGCGAACAUGUCGAUUGUCUAUCUGCCUCCUGUGAAUUUGCAUGUGUGUGACGGCCGGUGUGAGUGUCCUCUCAUGGUUUUUAGACAGACCGCCUGGCGGGCGGGAAUUGUGAGCAGCCGGAGAGGGGCUGGGGACCACCCGAGUAAGAGGGUUGGGUUGUUGUUAGCAGCGCUGGGGGCCACCCGUGUGAUAGGGUAGGGAAACUGCAGGCAGCCGGUGAGGGGCUGGGGGCCACCCGUGUGAUAGGGUAGGGAAACUGUAGGCAGCCGGUGAAGGGCUGGGGACCACCCAGGUAGCUGGGUUGGGAUAUAACAGGAGGCCGGUGAAAGAUUGUGGAUCAUCUGUUAGAAGGUGGGAUGUUACUGUACAGGGUUACAGCCUGGAGAGAGAGGCUGGGGUUAUUGAUUUUUUAUUUCCAUUGUCUGCUUUAUUAUGUACAUGGCCAUAUUGCUCUCUGUCAUUUUGUGGAUUUUGUUCAAUUGUUGCUACAGUGUGGGUACCUUUGGUGUAUGUGUGUGUGUUGUGUGGUUUGUCCUUGAUUCUGGAGUGUACACUCAUUUCUAUGUAUGUGAUUUCUGUAAAUGUCUAGUGCUUAGUGUUGCCACAUUUAUCUUUUCCCUUCUUCUGUAUCUAUCCUGUGCCUGUUGCCCAGAGCUGUGUUAGUCACCCACGCUCGCCCGCUCCGAUCCGUGGUCACCAUCUUGGGUGCACGGACCAUUGUGACUAGACUACAUUUUGGGAAGAUGUACGGGUCCCCCGUGGCAGUCGAGCACUGUAGACUUUCCUACUUUUUCUUCCCGCUCACCCGGUCCCCUUUGCUCGGCAGACCUCGCUUGGUCAAGAUGGGACAAGAACAUGCUAGACCAGCUAAAGGAUUUUUAGCUUGUGAUAUUGUGAAGGAAAGGGCAGGGGAGGAGCAAUGUUGAAAAUCAAGAAAAUUGCUAAGGUCUAUGGUUUUCAAAUGUCACCCAGUGGUAGGUUGCAGCCUGAGUUUUGGAGGAAGUUGCUUGUGGACAAAGAAGGGUUAUUGUCAGAUAAUGGGCUAACCAAAGCUGUAGAGGCUUGGUAUCGGGUUGCUAGGGGACUUAAGCGGGAGGGUUGGACGGAGGAGGAACUAGAGUUUGAGGGACAAACGAUUUAUGUGUACCAUCGAAAUGCUUGUAACACUGAUGUUUCCCCUGAAAAUCCCCGGCCACCGCCCUAUGAUGGCGCCCAGACCGUGCUGAACAGCUCCCGCCCAACUUCUCCGGUUAACACCCAGACACCACCUCCCAGUGGCGUAGUACAUGGUUCCACCCCCUUAUGUCCUGUGAUUGGAGCUGACGGAGCCUAUUACAAUCCAGUACCGUUACAUUCUUUUCCCCACGUCCCCAUGGCCCAGCCAUUCUCCUCCCCCGACCUAGCCCCAUCCCAGCCUGUCCUCCCAGUCCCCUCCCAGUCCCCUCCCAGCUCCCGGUCCCUCCUCCGCCACCUCCCUGUCCACCACCCCGAUCAAAGUCCCCGCCUGCUUCUAUUGUCUCACCAUUAGCCCUUCCUAUCCCCGAUCCCAGUUGACCUCAACCCCCGUCACGUCUGUCACACCCCCCAACCCUACUACGACUACUGUGUCUUCCACUCCCCUUACUAAUCUCAUUACUACUACUUCCAGUUCUUCUCCCACCGCUAAUACUUCUGGUUCCUCUACUAAUCUGGUGUCCUCCCUUCUCACAGCCCUCUCUGCCGCCCUCGAGCCUUCCCGUCAUCCUGCAACUCCUCCUUUGCUCCCCGAGGCCCCUCCCGUUGUAGACCCGUCCCCUCUUCCCCCAUCUCUUCCUGCUGAACUGUCUUCCCUCCUCUCCACCCUCUCGGCUCUGACCCGCCCAGCCCUUCCUACCUCACCCAUGGACCCUCCCCCUCCUACACUCCCUAUUGAGCGAUCUAUCCUCACCUCAGCCCUCUCCGCCCUGGCCCAGCCUCUCGCCCAGUCCCGUGUCACCCUGUCCGGUCCUGCCCCUGUCCCGUGUGCCUCUGAUCCGAGUCCCAGCUUUCCCCUCAUGGUGGUUGGCUCUGAAGAACCAGCUACAUCGGCCCAGCCCUACGCUGUGGGUGUUUCUCCAGCGGCAUCAGGUUACCACCCCACAACGUCACAAUUGGGCAGUCCACAUAACGCGGCUCUCGCUCCCCAGACUCCCAUCACCCCGGCGGUACCAGGCCCGGUUUCCCUGGGUGCUGCCUCCUACCUGGAGGAUCAUGACGCUCCGGGGGAUGAUGACGUUGAUGAACGUGGCCUGCCUCUCCACCAGGGUAAUAGACCCUUACAGAGAGCACCUGCAACGCGAGUACAUCUCCAUGUACCCCCCGCUGCUGCAGGAGCCCCUCCUAUGUAUGUUACGUUCAACCCUUCACAAGCUGCCACUCUUGUCACCUCUCUCCCUGAUCCUGAGAAACAACCCAUGCCCUUCUACCGUAGGAUGGCUCAGAUCCAUAAAACCUACUCCGCUGCCUGGCGGGAUCUCUAUAGUUUAUGUGAGAUCAAAGCAGGUGAUGCCUACUGGCCCAUUAUGGCACGCAGCUUAACGGAUGCUCCACUCACCACUGACACAGAUUUCCAGUCUGGUAUUACAUUCUGUGAACAACUCCGUGCUUGGGCAGAAGAUAAACUGGCAGACCAGGCUACCUGUAUUAAUGACAUUGUUCAAGACAAACUUGAAUCUGUUGAAAAGUAUCAUUCACGUCUAACUCAAACUUUCUCUGAUCUAGGGUUUAGCACUUACAAUAAAGCUCAUACUCAGAUGUUGUCUGCUGCCUUUGUAGCUGGGUUAAAGGAACAUAUCCGUAAGGGUUUAAUUCUCUCCCGACCUGAGUACCGAAUAAUCCCUUUAGACACGCUUUUACUGGUGGCCAAGGGGUUAGAGUCAGUGAUACAGCCCCUUCAGAGGAGGGCAAACCCAAUGAUGCUUAAUGCCCCUGCUGUUGUCACAGGGCCUCCCCAUACUACUGCAUCUUGCAUCUCCCAUGGGGGAAUCAAGGGUCCCUCAUGCCCCCAGUGCUCUGGACAAAAUCCCUGCAAAGCUCUGGUCCACAGGUCCUGAUGAUAUUGGACGCCUUAAAGUUCCCCCAGUUGUGGUCACACUUCUGCCAGGAGUAGCGCCUCCCCGAAGACCCCAGUAUCCACUGAAACCUGGUCAGGCCCUCGCCAUUUCUAAGCAAGUGGAAAGCCUCCUGGCCAAGGGAGCCCUUGUCAAGUUUGUAUCGCCAUGCAACACCCCUUUUUCCUGAAGAAGAAGACUGAGAAGGGGCAUUCUGAUCAAUACCGCAUGGUCCAGGAUCUACGUGCAGUUAACAAUGUCACUGUCAAGGAUACAGCUGUGGUCUCUAAUCCACAUACACUACUGUCACAGGUUCUGCCCUCUGCCACAAUCUUUACUGUUGUGGACCUUGCUAAUGCAUUUUUCAGUGUGCCCCUGGAUUCAUCCUGCCAAUACCUCUUUGCUUUUACCCAUGAAGGUCAACAAUAUACAUGGACAGUCAUGCCUCAGGGGGCUCAGAAUUCGCCCACUCUGUUUGCCCGCGCCAUGUCAAUGGUUCUGGAACCCUGGCAAAAGACACACACUGAUGUAGUCCUGCUUCAAUAUGUUGAUGACCUACUUCUCUGUGCUGCUGAUUUCCAGACUGCUUAAAGAGUUUUUGAGGAUCUCCUUUGCUUCCUAGCUGAAGAAGGCUGCUAGGCCUCUAAAUCAAAGCUUCAAUGGUGCCGGCCCUCAAUGGUCUUCUUGGGACAUUGUCUUUCCCAUGGCACCCGUCACCUUACCAAGGACAGGAUCUUAGCCAUUUUGAAUUUACCAAUUCCUUCUGCUCAUCAAUCUCUCCAUGCCUUUUUAGGCCUCAUCCCGUAUUGCAGAUCCUGGAUUCCUGAAGCUUCUCAAAUGAUGCAACCACUAUAUGAUGCUCUGAAAAGCGAGCCUUUCUCACUCUCACCACAUGCCAUUGCCUGUUUUACUGCUCUAUAGAAAGCCAUUGCAUCUGCACCUGCCUUGGGCCUACCGAACUACCAGCUGCCUUUCAAGUUGUUCGUGUCUGAGAAACUGGGCCACGCCUCCGGAGUUCUUACUCAACAACAUGGCUCCAGACAAAGACCCAUUGGCUACUUCUCUUGCAUGCUUGAUCCUGUUGCCAGAGGCAGUCCCUUCUGCCUGAGGGCAGUGUUUGCUGCUAGUACCCUCUUGGACAAAACUAAUGACUUCGUCCUUGGACAUUCUCUGACUGUCUUGGCUCCACAUGAUAUUUCUGCUAUUCUCCAACAGACCCAGCCAAGGCAUUUCUCUUCUCAGCGUCAUCUGCGGUUGCAAACUUCUUUGUUACUGCCUGACAACAUUAUUUUACAACGCUGCUACUCACUGAACCCGGCCACUCUUCUGCCACUUCCCAAGGGGGGAGUGGCACAGUACUGGUAAAGCCUGGACAUCAACCCAGAUGCCCGGGUGGAAUUCCAAUUACCUACUCUAGCACCUCCUCAUGAUGUGCAACCAGAGAACUUGUUACACUGUACCCUGUGGUUCAAAGACAACCCAGGCCCUGAUGUGGAUUAUGAAGAAGAACUAUUUCAACUUGUGGAAAUUCACAUCACACUGACAGACUUGCUAUGGGACUCCAGAGGCAACAUGGUCCUGCUAGUGCACCUUCCAACAGACGUAUCCCACCUUUACCCUCAUUGGGAGACAGCUGUCCCACACAUAUCCUUCACCAAGUCCCCUGACUUCUCAUGGAAAGAUCUAGGCCCAAUGGCCAAAUCCUGGAGUGCACUAAGAAGAUCAUCAACUGCAGUACAGUUGGAUAUCCUUGAUACCAUACAGAGAUCUGUGAAGAUCUCCCUCCCAUGGAACAAGAUUCAGAUGCCCCCCAUGAUUGCUUUGAACAGAUGAAGAUGGAAACCACCCAUUUACCAACUGUACAUGAGACUGCUCUACCUAAUCCAGACCAGAUACUGUUUGUAGAUGGUUCCAGAUUUGCUGAUGAACAAGGGCAAUAUCACACUGAAUAUGCAGUUACCACAGAAUGUCAAGUACUACAAGCAGCCGCACUUCCACCAACCAAAUCAGCUCAGGAAGCCGAGCUAACAGCCCUCACAGUGGCCUGUAAACUAUCUGAGAGCCUACGUGUCAACAUUUAUACAGACUCAAGAUAUGCCCUGGGAGUAGCACAUGAUUUUGGCCUAAUUUGGAAAACUAGAGGAUUUCUCACAGCCACCGGUACUCCAGUAAAACAUGGCAUAGCCAUUGAAGAACUAAUGGAUGCCCUAAUACUCCCAGCAGAAGUGGCAGUGCUCAAAGUGAAAGCCCACGGGAGGCUGAAUUCGGAAGAAGCACGAGACAACCACUUGGCUGAUCAAGCCGCCAAGGAUGCAGCACAACAAGGGUGGAAAGUGGAAAGAAGAGUGGCCACUGAAACAACACCCAUUUAUACUAUGCAAACAUUACCUACAGAUCUCAGACUCCUGAAGGAACAACAAGCUGCUGCGACCCCCCAAGAAAAAGAGAGUUGGAAGAGCAGGGGAGCCAUUCUCCGAGAUGAGGUUUACACCAUUAAUCUUAAGUUUUGUCUACCCAAGAAUAUGUAUCCAGCUGUUGUCCAAUGGGCUCAUGGACCAGCCCACCUGUCUAAACACCUGAUGAACUCCCUGAUUGAUAAAUACUUUGAAGCACCGGUGUAAUGGACCGUUUCUCUCACAAGAGGAUAAAAACCGUUUAGGCGAUAAUCCCCUUUCCCAUAGACCAGCAGCUACUGCAAGCACCAAACUCCCGAACUGCAAACUGUACGAAUUCACCAACUCCCGAACUGGAAACACACGAACACUGGAAUCAGCCGAACAGGAAAAGCAUACAAUCCGCUUACACUCCUGGCAGUCAGCAUACAAUCCAAUUCCCCCCAAAAACGAGACGACACAUCGGUUUGAGGGUCAAGCAGAAUCUCCCUGUACUGUCACAUACAGUCUCUUUUAUUCCCAAUCCACAAACAUAGUACAGCCCACAGGGCGUUACAAAACAACCAAUCAAUCCGUACAAUACACCCAGACACUCCACACAAAAUCCUCCCCUCUGCAGGUGAUAUGAUUACUGAACACAAUGGGUAAUCUCAUUAUCACCGGCAGAGGAAUACAGUUUUUACACAAUAUUUAUAACUUCUAAAAUAUACAUGCCACAAACAUAAAACAUACAUUUUCAUAAUCAAUCCAUUCAGGGGAACAACAUAUUAAAAAAUGGCACGAAUCAGACCAGGGGUUCAAAAGUUGAGGGAAAGUCCUUUGUGACUAAAUGAAGCAUGGCUUUCUGGCCCAAACCAGUUUCAGAGUCUUCUAUCCUGGAGAGUAAUUCAAUUAUCUCCCAGGACAGACACAAGACUACAUUAAGCACAUGGUUGCAAAAAGACACAAAACACUUUAAAAUACAUAAAGUCACCUUUACACAUAACACACAGACAUUUCACAUAUCCCCAGAUAGCUGGGAUCUGAGUGCAUAUUAUUAGAUGAAUGGCACUCAGAUCACACAAAUAAGCCUUUCUGCAGGGGAAAUAAACGGUUUAACCUGCAGGGCCAUAGUCCAAAGGGAGCAGGCGAGCAACCAGGCUUCUCCAGUUCACAGUGGCGAGGUUGGUUUCGCCACAACCGGGUAUUACUACUCUAACACAGAACUAUUGUAGAUCUUGUGCAAUUUGUGCUAAAUGAUUUUUUAAAACUGCACCCAACCACUUGGCCAAACCACAAUAUCCUUUCCAGAGGAUACAGAUUGACCAUAUUCAGAUGCCAAAGAGUGGACGCUAUGAAUACGCAUUAGUCAUUGUGGACAUGUUCUCAGGAGGGCCAGAAGCCUUCCCAGUGGCCAAUCUCACCACAAGAACUACAGCUAAACAUCUUCUGAUGGAAAUUGUUUGCCGGUAUGGUGUUCCAGAGGUGAUUGAAAGUGACCAAGGAACUUCCUUUACCGCCUCAUUGACAUGGGAAGUCUGGGCAGCACUGGGGGUGACCCUUACCUUCCACACACCAUAUCACCCACAGAGUAGUGGUAAGGUAGAACGCAUGAAUGGCACAUUGAAGGCCAGAAUUCUUAAGAUGUCCCAAGAAACUAACAUGCCCUGGCCUGAGAGUCUUCCAUUAGCAUUAUUUAGUGUGAGGUACACUCCUAGGGUAAAAUACAACUUAUCUCCCUAUGAGAUCCUGUUCGGUACAGCACCAAGGUUAGGUUGUUACUUCCCCCAACAGCUUCAGAUUCAGUCAGACGCUAUGGUAGAUUAUGUGACUGCUCUCUCUCAUGCCUUGACCAAAAUCCAUGCCCAAGUGUUUUCUUUUAUUCCAGAUCCUGAGUCGAAUACAGGUACACACAAGUUGCUCCCUGGUGACUGGGUUAUGGUCAAGAAAUUCCUCAGGAAACACACCCUUGAGCCAAGGUUUGAUGGUCC